CGUUUUUUUCUCUUCUUCUUAUUCUAGAUCUGAUUUCAAGUUUCAAAGUCAUCGUUUUCCAAGAAAAACUCUAGAUUUGUGUAUGUAGAUGGUGUAGUUUCAGUAUCAUUUUUUAUUAUUAUGGAUAGCUGGAGAGGUAGGUACGUUUUUUUCCCUAUUUUUCCCUUUUUUCUAUGAUUUUUGUUUGAUUCAGAUUGGAUUGAUGUAAAUUUUUUUUUUUUAGUAUUCAUCAAUUUUGCGAUCUUACACUAUUUCUGAUUCGAUUUUCAGCUUAUGUUUCUUAUUGAAGCAUAGGAGAGUCUUAUAUUCCUUUUGAAACAGAUGGUGCUUUUUUUGGGCAUUCAUUAAUUUUGCAGCCGUAUUGUUCAUCAAUUUGUGUUUUUUAGGUUUUCUUAUUGAUUUUUUUUUAUUGUGAUUUUUGUCUAAGUUGGAUAGAUGUAAGAUUUUUUUUAACAGGUUUUCCACUAAUUUUAAAUUGACACUCUUUUUCUCUGAUUUCAAUUGAGUUUCUUCUUGAUCUAAUGGCCAUUUACAAAUGAAUCUGCAUGGAUGAAUUUCUUGGUUUAAUGGCCAUUUACAUGAAUCUGCACAAAUCUAGCCAAUUUGUUAUGUAAACUCUUGGAAUUGGCAAGGAAGACCUUAGGUGAAUUUGAUGCGUACCUCUCAAAAUAUAACAAAAUUAUUAUGUUUGAUGCAAAUGUGAUGGUCAUGGACCUCAUGGUCAUGGUCUCUUGAUUAAUCGGAAGGGGCUACAUUUAUGCCCUGGCAGGGAAGUCUAAGAUCAUGAAAGUAAAGAUUUAACUUGGUUUUAAUGAGAUUAAGACUAUGAUGGUGGCUGGUUGUGACGCCUUGAAGGUUACUCUAGGGUGGCGUGUUGUUGCUCAUGUAUAAACUAUCUCAUGCCGAAUGUUUUAUGUAUUUUUUUUAUGCAUUUGAGAAAGCAACAUAGAGUUUCAUUCAUUUUUGAUGUUUUAGACUUUUGCUUUUUAAUUUUCAUUAAUUCAUUAAACCUUGAAGGUGUUGGCACUGAAAUCAAUUAAAA
This is a long non-coding RNA of Papaver somniferum (opium poppy), 1042 nucleotides long. RefSeq lists it as uncharacterized. The transcript is spliced from 3 exons. The record is from RefSeq and is a predicted model, not a curated record. Lineage: Eukaryota; Viridiplantae; Streptophyta; Magnoliopsida; Ranunculales; Papaveraceae.